Molecule: long non-coding RNA, 324 nt
Organism: Labeo rohita (rohu)
Lineage: Eukaryota; Metazoa; Chordata; Actinopteri; Cypriniformes; Cyprinidae
Exons: 3
Source: RefSeq, a predicted model, not a curated record
CAUCUGUUUUCUUUUACAUGAACACUGAAUGACGGAUCAGUCGGAAUGUGCUUCACACACGCCGAACAGCUGCAGACGAGACUCGACGCCAUCCAGAAUGCAGCUUCCUGAUGAUGUAACAGAUACAAAGCUAAGCAAAAGUGAUUUGGGUGAGCCAAAGGAGAUUCAGACAGACCCUCUGGGGCUUUUGUGGGUACAGCAAAUUGCAAGAUAAUGACUGGUGCAUCACAUGGGAGAGUUGAAAUAUCACAUGGGAUUCCUUAAUGACAUCAUCCUACUGGAAGUGACAUCAUUUUGGAGGGAAAACAACAGCACAUAUAUCAG